AACACGGACCAAGGAGUCUAGCAUGUGCGCGAGUCAUUGGGAAUUUAUAAACCCAAAGGCGCAAUGAAAGUGAACAGCGUCGGCCUCGCGUCGACCGCAGGGAAGACGACGUACGGUUCGACCGUGCGUCCGCACUCCCGAGGCGUUUCGAGAAAUGCCCCCGUUGCGAUUAUCGAGACGCACUGAGAGCGUACACGCUGGGACCCGAAAGAUGGUGAACUAUGCCUGGUCAGGUCGAAGUCAGGGGAAACCCUGAUGGAGGACCGAAGCGAUUCUGACGUGCAAAUCGAUCGUCUGAACUGGGUAUAGGGGCGAAAGACUAAUCGAACUAUCUAAUAGCUGGUUCCAUCCGAAGUUUC
Molecule: ribosomal RNA, 359 nt
Filed under: Trichomacronema elegans
Lineage: Eukaryota; Metazoa; Arthropoda; Insecta; Trichoptera; Hydropsychidae
Description: eukaryotic LSU rRNA
Rfam family: Eukaryotic large subunit ribosomal RNA
Source: RNAcentral